RNAcentral lists this transfer RNA (76 nucleotides) under Bacillus sp. FJAT-18017. RNAcentral describes it as "tRNA-His". It matches the Rfam family "tRNA". From Rfam's summary of the family: Transfer RNA (tRNA) molecules are approximately 80 nucleotides in length. Their secondary structure includes four short double-helical elements and three loops (D, anti-codon, and T loops). The record is from RNAcentral. Lineage: Bacteria; Bacillati; Bacillota; Bacilli; Caryophanales; Bacillaceae.
GCGAUUGUGGCGAAGUGGUUAACGCACCUGAUUGUGGUUCAGGCAUUCGUGGGUUCGAUUCCCAUCAGUCGCCCCU